CCUACGGGAGGCAGCAGUCGGGAAUUUUGGGCAAUGGGCGCAAGCCUGACCCAGCAACGCCGCGUGAGCGAUGAAGGCCUUCGGGUCGUAAAGCUCUGUCGAGAGGGAAGAAUGUUCUCGGGGUGAACAAUCCCGGGGAAGCGACGGUACCUCUAAAGGAAGCGCCGGCUAACUCCGUGCCAGCAGCCGCGGUAAUACAGAGGGUGCAAGCGUUGUUCGGAAUUAUUGGGCGUAAAGGGCGCGUAGGCGGUGCGGUAAGACUGUGGUGAAAUCUCCGGGCUCAACUCGGAAAUUGCCGCGGUGACUGCCGUGCUGGAGUGUGGGAGAGGUGAGUGGAAUUCCCGGUGUAGCGGUGAAAUGCGUAGAUAUCGGGAGGAGCACCUGUGGCGAAAGCGGCUCACUGGACCACAACUGACGCUGAGGCGCGAAAGCUAGGGGAGCAAACAGGAUUAGAUACCCUGGUAGUCCUAGCCCUAAACGAUGAUGGCUUGGUGUGUCGGGUACCCAAUCCCGACGUGCCGCAGCUAACGCGAUAAGCCAUCCGCCUGGGGAGUACGGUCGCAAGACUGAAACUCAAAGGAAUUGACGG
This 589-nucleotide ribosomal RNA is filed under the name uncultured bacterium. RNAcentral describes it as "bacterial SSU rRNA". It matches the Rfam family "Bacterial small subunit ribosomal RNA", at positions 338 to 916 of the family's 1533-position model. The record is from RNAcentral.